UACGGAGGGUGCAAGCGUUAAUCGGAUUUAUUGGGCGUAAAGCGCAUGUAGGCGGUUUGUUAAGUCAGACGUGAAAUCCCCGGGCUCAACCUGGGAACUGCAUCUGAUACUGGCAAGCUUGAGUCCCGUAGGGGGGGGUAGAAUUCUAGGUGUAGCGGUGAAAUGCGUAGAGAUCUGGAGGAAUACCGGUGGCGAAGGCGG
This 201-nucleotide ribosomal RNA is filed under the name uncultured bacterium. Its description in RNAcentral is "partial 16S ribosomal RNA". It matches the Rfam family "Bacterial small subunit ribosomal RNA", at positions 524 to 724 of the family's 1533-position model. The record is from RNAcentral.